UACGGUGGGGGCAAGCGUUGUUCGGAAUUACUGGGCGUAAAGGGCUCGUAGGCGGCCAACUAAGUCAGACGUGAAAUCCCUAGGCUCAACCUAGGAACUGCGUCUGAUACUGGAUGGCUUGAAUCCGGGAGAGGGAUGCAGAAUUCCAGGUGUAGCGGUGAAAUGCUUAGAUAUUGCACAGAACACCAAUUGCGAAGGCAGCUCGCUAAGCUGUAACUGACGCUGAGGCACGAAAGCGUGGGGAGCAAACAGG
This 253-nucleotide ribosomal RNA is filed under the name uncultured bacterium. RNAcentral's name for it is "partial 16S ribosomal RNA". It matches the Rfam family "Bacterial small subunit ribosomal RNA", at positions 524 to 776 of the family's 1533-position model. The record is from RNAcentral.